UUUAAUAAUCCUAUUCUACAGUACUUUCACCCCCAUAUAAAUACAAAGUUAGACAAGCCUAAUUUUCAACCCAGCCCCGCUCUCUCUCUCUCUCUCCCUCCCUCUCUCUCCCCUCCCUGAGCUCAACUCCUCGCCCCCUCCCUAACCCUUUCGAUGGGAUCGACGGCUCAGUGUGGGGUUCGGUGAGGGGAAGGCAUGCGGCUUACAAAGAAGAGGAGAGAUAGAGGGUGAGGAGAGAGAGAGAGAGAGAGAGAGAGAGAGAGAGAGAGAGAGAGGGAUUCGGUGAAGGGAAGGCAUGCGGCUUGCAAAGAGGAUGGAGGGAGGGAGGAGAAGACGAAAGGCAACUGCAGCAAGUUCAUGGAUAGGGUGCCACCAAUGAAGACCCCUCGACAGUAGAUUCAAGUCAAUCUGGGCAAUCUAUCGCUUCUUAAAAAAAAAAAAAAAAAAAAAAAAAAAAAAAAAAAAAGUCAAUGUGUGUUAAGUCAUGACCUUCAACCCUCAUCAAAGCUCAACUUUUAGCCCCUUCUCCAGGUUUCUUCUCUCUAUGGUAGUCUGUUAGAGUUUAUGUUUAUCGUGGAAAGCACAGAAGACCCUGCUUAUCGGGCUGUAUCUAUGCUACUAUCAGAGCUUAAGGACGAGGUUGAUGCUAAGAUUGUUGUGGCUGGUAUUUCAACAACCUGCAGUAAGAAAAUUCACAACCGAUUGGUAUGUACCUGAUUAAAAUAAUUUACGCUUUGCUACCAUGCUGGUGCAAUAGCAAGGUCUUGCACAGUUGAAGUGUUAUCUUAUCAAAUCAUUAUGUACCUAUAAUUGUUCUAUAUGACGAGUUUCUUUUCUUUGUGGAAUACAGGAAUAUAAAUUAUUGUUUAGUCUUAAUGGUGUAGGGUAUAUGUAAAUGAAUUCAAGUAGAGCUCACUUUUUUGCUUUCCGUUUUGUAGCUGCCUUGAUCAUUAGUUGGUGAUAUUUGGGAGAUUGAGAGUAGGAUAGGAUAAUUUUAUUGUAUAAUUGAAUACUUUUGUAUAACCACUGUGCUUAUACAUUUUAUGUAACCAUUGUACUUGUACAUUAUACAUCAUCAGAGACCCUAUUUUUUUGG
Non-coding RNA from Malus domestica (apple), 1096 nucleotides. NCBI's taxonomy places the organism in Eukaryota, Viridiplantae, Streptophyta, Magnoliopsida, Rosales, Rosaceae. The record is from RefSeq and is a predicted model, not a curated record.